Molecule: long non-coding RNA, 1530 nt
Organism: Monodelphis domestica (gray short-tailed opossum)
Lineage: Eukaryota; Metazoa; Chordata; Mammalia; Didelphimorphia; Didelphidae
Source: RefSeq, a predicted model, not a curated record
GGAAGGGGGAAGAGAAGGUUGGUCUUCAGUUUUCAUAACCACAUUCAGGACAAUGGAUUAAUUUAUAAGAAUAUUUUUAUCAUUGUACUUUAGGGAGACUAUUAAAGCAAAUCUCCAGGGCAUUGGGCUCAGGUUUGGGAACUUGUCAGAAGAUAAACAUGAAUUGGAAAUUAGGGUCCUGAUCUUCCUUCUGUUGUAGUCUCCAAGUGACAGGUAAUUCUAAGACUGAAAACUACCCAUGGAUUGCCUUGUCUCAGACCAGGAUUCAAUCUGACAGACUUCUGUCCAAAGGUCUGGAUAUUUCAUGGUCAAACUGAUCCUAUAAGUAAAGGACCAAAUUCUCAAAGUUGUUUGGGGCGGAGGAAGACUUGGGGUUUACAGCCUAUACAAAAUCUCCCUCUCAUUCCUCAUCAUGGUGUGGCAGUGACCUAGGCCCUUGAAGGCUAAUUCAUGGAAUUAAAGCUCUGACAGGCUUUACCAAGCUAGGAAGGCUUUGCGAGUACAAGCCAGGCAGCCCUUAUGUGACUAACAUCUAAGCCCCAGAAGGGCUCAUCACGAAGUUGCCCAUAGGUUAUAUUUCCAGGACUGAUCAGAAUUGAUAGUUUUGAAAGCAACAUCACAAGAAAUCAGCCCCCAGAAAGUAGCCCUGAGGCCAUCUUUGCCAAUUUGGAAUUUUGCUUUGUAACAGACCAGUGUUCAGAAGUGGGACAAACUGAACUAGAAUCCUGCUUUUGGGAUCUCUCCCUGCAUUCACUUCUGGAGGAAACAAAUGAAACUGCUCCUUUGAAGACUAGCUUAGUAGCCAGAGGAAUGAGAGGAGACUGGCAGGCUCUAGUGGAGUGAAGUUUGGAUCUUCUUUCCUCAAAGUGACAGCCUACCUCAUCACUGCAAGAGGUGAAUUUCUUCUUUAUGGACAAGGAUAAUAUGAAAACUUCUAUGGCGAUUCUUGAGACAUAGGUGAUAUCAAUAUACCAGUCCCAUAAAACACCCAACACAUAAUGGAGAAGAGCUGUUAUCCUUCCCAAGCAGCCACAGCCUUUUAAAACCACAAUGCCACAUACAUUCCAGGAUCGAUUUUUUUUCUUGUUAUCGUUUCCUAAAACACAAUUAUGGGCCAAAAGCUUGAAGAACAUCAUUUUUGAGAAACCUGAUUUCUGUAAGAUUUAAUGGUAGAACACUUCUCUGAACCUAGAAGUAAUAAGAAACAAACUUCUAAGUUACUUCUAUCAUCACUGCUCUCCUCAUGAUUCUGUCCUGCUUAGCAAUCUUCAGAGACUCCCUAUUAUGUAUAAGAUAAAAUGCAAACUCCUCAUAUAGGCAGUAAAGGUCCUCUGCAAUAGGCUCUAGUCCAUCCCUUUUGCCUUAUGUCAAAUUAAUUGCUUUCAGGUAUUCUAUCUUCCAGCCAGGGGUAUGCUGGUAAAUGUUUAACAAUAGGCUAAGAGAAAGGCAGCUGGGUGGCUCAAUGGAUUGAGAGCCAGGUCUAGAGAUGGGAGGUCCUGGCAUAAAUCUGACUCUUCCUAACUGGGUGAU